This 43565-nucleotide long non-coding RNA is filed under the name Ananas comosus (pineapple). Its description in RNAcentral is "long non-coding RNA (ACOM_LNC014211)". Lineage: Eukaryota; Viridiplantae; Streptophyta; Magnoliopsida; Poales; Bromeliaceae. The record is from RNAcentral.
UUUAAUUUUGUAUCUAUUUGGCCUAAGGUUUAUAAAACAACUCAUAUAGUUGUAGGAGCUAUAUAUGUUUGGUAAAUAAAAGUUUUUAAAAUGUUUGUUAUGAUAAGAACUUAAUAUAAAAUUCUAAGUCUAAAGUGCAAACAGACUCUCUUAGAGUCUGUUUAAUACUGAGGAUUAUUAACUUUAUCGGGCAAUGGGGAACUGGGGCAAAAAUUAUAUAUAAAAUUUUUUUUUCUGUAGAAAUUAUAUCACAAUCGGAUCAUUAGGAUCUAUACUAAUAUUUCGUAUGGAAAACAGACGAACAAUUUUUUCAUAAUAGCUUUUUGUAGUAAGGAACGAUCCUCCUAGCAAUAUGAAAUUAUUAAUUCAAAAAGUAUUGCUUAGCUGAACAUGCUGGACUCAACAAUUUCUUAGGCUCCAUUGGUACUGUGGGGAUAUUUUGUUCCGUAUAGAGAAAAGUACAAUGGAGAAAACUUUCAUUUGUUUCUGUACGUAAUAUUUUUAUAUGCUUUUGCCCCGUAUCAAUGAGUCGGUAUGAUUAAACUAUGAAGAAACAUAUCAUUAUAUGCUUUUGCUUCAGUUUGCCUAAAAACAUACAUUGCCCCUCAACCAAUACCAAACGACCUGUUAGAGGGUCAUACUCUGUAUGGGCUAAAGUGGGCCUGGGCCGGUCCAAGAUGGAUGAGGAUGAAAACAGUUCUUCCAAUUCUCCACAUGAAAAAAAUUAUGCAGUCAUUUUAGUAGCCCAUAUAUACCUUUAUAUUAAUAAUCUAUAAUUUUUAUAACUAUCUAUUAAUCCUUAAUAAUUUACAUACGUGGUAUCACCAACUCUAUUUUUGUGAGUUGGCCUCACCUGUCAGGUUGUUUUUUGGGUUUGGUUCAGUUCUAACUCCUUACCUCCUUCGACCUGAUUUUUCUUUUCAACUGGUUCCUUCUGAAUCUGUUCUUUUUUGUUAGUUAAACUGGUUUUAUUACUUCUCAUAUUGCAUGUUGAACCGGUUUCUCUUAUCUGCCCAUUCUUGAGUUUGAUCCACCUAAUCUCUUCUAGGUUAAGACUAAUUUUCGGUUUUCUCUUCUUUCCCCACUAUUUCGUCUUUCCUUCCUAAUUAAUAUUUUUUCAAUUUUUCCUCUUUCCUUACUCUUUCAUCUUUCUUCUCCAAUUAAUAUUUUUUUGGUUUCAUCUUCUUUCUUUAUUGUUUCGUCUUCCCUCCUCAAUUGAUAUUUAUCCGCUAUAGAGUUGGAUUUUAGAAAUAGAAAAAACGAAUUUAAGCCGGUGGCUAAUUAGCAAUCUAAUCAAGCAGCUUCAAUCCCCGCGAUUUUUGUGUGAAUGGUCAGUAAGCUUACCUGUAUCAACUCGGAUACUUGCAGGCUUCCCCCAUUGCAAACUGAUAGACGGAGAAGGAAGAGAAAAAAAAUAAAUCUCGAAUUGGGCUGCAUACAAACACGGGUAUAUAAUAGGUAUUAGAAGUUUGGAUCAGAGCACAGUAAAAGAAAAAGAAGAAACACUGAAGAACAGAAGCUCACCUUGUAGCCACUAACUACAGAGGAUGGGUGGAUUUUAUUUCUGACAAGAACAUUUGCUCUCUGCAAUAGAAAAACAGAUAUGACAAGUUUCAAUAUGUCAUCAUCAUUCCAAAUAAAUUAUGACACUGAGAUAAUAACAAUUACAAAGCUACACUGAAGAAAAGAGUAAAGUCUCCUUGAGCAACUCUGCAGCUACAACAACAACAACUGAUGUUGUGCCGUAUCCUACCUCCCGAUCUUGAAGUUCUGCCGGCUCAACAAGAAUCUAACAUCCUCAGAGCAAAAUUUAUAUACAGAGAAGGGUUAAUAAUAACAAAACUUCACAACCCACAUGGAAGUAAAUACAGAUAAUUUCACUGGUAAUAGUAUCUACCUUGGCACCUAGAUGUUCCACCUCUAACAUCUUCAGAAUUGUUGCGCCAUCGUUCGUUAUUGUCACAUAACCAAUGUCACCAACCAGAAUCUAGAUCAUCCAAACUAGUUAGUUUCUAACACAUAAAAGCACUCAAAAUCUACUGCACAAGUAACAAAUCCAUGAAGAGUGCAAUGAAUUAACAUAUCAACUGCAAGGAUCACGAUGUUUUGUGGAUCACACCUAAUUACUGUACCAAAAAGAGCAACAGCCCUUAAAAUAAAAAGUAAACAGAAAUUUCUCUGCAUUCCCUCUAUAUUUUAUCCAUUAAAUUUUGUAAGAGGAAACUUGUUUUGAAUUUGGCAUAGGAAAUUACACUUUGCAAUUUUAGAAAGUAGAUAAACCUUAAAGAAAGUAGACAACUAAUAUAUAUUUAAACUGUCUACAAUGACUGAAUUAGCUUUCACACCCUCAGGUAUGAGCACAAAACCAUCACCCAAUACCACCCAAUAUUCACGAAACAUAACAGAUUCAAAGAUGAUGUGAAAUUAAUAUCUCUAUUUUAUCUAUGGUGUGAAACGAGCAAGUUAAAUGCUUCAUGAAUCCAAAUAGGACAUUUAGUUGAAAAACAAUUAUAAUAACAUACAUAUUUGGAUUUCACCAUACAAGAUCCAUACCAAACUUAGUAACUUUUAUAAGUUUGUACAUCGCUAUUCAACAAACAAUGUUCAUUUCUUUACAGAACAUGUACAAAAUUUCGAUAAAAUGCACGCCGCUAAAAUUAGAGUUCCAACCUCCAAGGCAUUCAAAACACUAACACCCCUCAGAUACAGCACAAAAGGAACAAAAAACAUUAGAGAAAGAAUGGAUUCACCUUAUCGAGACCGACGGGUCCGAGGGACGACUUGAAGAUGUUUGCCACGGCUUGGCACACCACCGCUGCCACACCAAAAGGAUUCAACAAGACGAUCAACGAAGAGUAAUAACAAUAUGCAUCAAAUGCGUUUCUCUUUGAUAAAAAGGAUCGCAUGAGCGAUCGAAGAGUAGGAUCGUACCGUUCUGCGUGCGCACAUCCUGGUCCGUUUGGCGCUCGCCGAGAAUGUCGGGGGUCUGAGCGGCGAUCGCCAUGGCUACGGAUCAGCUUGUACGAGGAAACCCUAGGUUUGAGCUCCGAGGAAACCCUAGAAAGGCGAAAGGGGCGAGAGGACGAAGACGGGAGGAGUAUGGAGUGUUCGGAGAGUAGCAAGUAGCAACUUGGCGCGUAGAGUAGUGGGCUUUGUUAAGGUUACGUUUAUACAUAUAGAGCCCGAGAAGUGAGGGCGAAUGACGGGUCUGAUAGCGACUAUAAAUAGAACCUAAGGUUUAAAAUGGGGGCCCAUACAAACUCGGCCCAUUUAGGCCCCAACUAUAAGGCAAUAAGACCUGCAAGCGAUAAAAAACAAAAGGUCCUCGAUCCGACCCGUUAGCCUGUUAUCCAAGUACGCGCCAAUUUCUAUCUCGUCUCGCGCACAAAAGUUGAGGCGCUCGUGCUUCGAAUGAUGAUCAAAACGAACACAAGUUGCUCUCCACCGUCUGAUCAUCACGCGCUCGCUACGGACCGUUGAGUUCGUUUCGUCUCCACUUUCACCUCAAAAUCCCAAUCCCUCGAUCUCCUCUCUCCCAUGGCGACAUCGACCCUCCUCUUCCCCACCACUCCUUCUUCCUCCCUCUCCUCCACACCCCACUCUCCUCCAUUCCCCAUCUCCGCGAACCCUCGCCGCCUCCGCCGAGCCCGAUCCUCCUCCUCCGCCGCCGCCGCCGCGGCGGCGUUCCGAUUCCUGCGCCCGCGCGAGGCCGUGCGCGCCAAAUCCGACCUCCUCAGCCUCAUCUCCGACCAGGAGAGGGGCCUCAGGACGCAGCGCGAUCCCUCGAAGCGCGCCGAGAUCGUCGUCGCGAUCGAGGCGCUCGCCGCCGCGGCGAAGGGCUCGGUCACCACGGGGCCUCCGCUCUCCGCGACGUGGCGGAUGCUGUGGACCACCGAGAAGGAGCAGCUCUUCAUCAUCAAGAACGCCCCCUUCUUCGGCACCGAAGCCGGUGAUGUGCUCCAGGUAAUUAUAUUAUUAGUUUUUGUGUUAAGGUGAUUUUCUGUGCAAUUCACUAAAUAAAUAAAAAAAAAGAGUACUGUACCAAUCGUGCCCUAGGUGAUCGAUGUGGAGAAGGGGACGCUCAACAACGUCAUCACGUUCCCCCCUUCCGGGGUCUUCUUCGUGCGAUCCUCGAUCGAAGCCGAGCCCCCUCAGAGGAUCAAUUUCAAGUGUGUAAUGGGUAGUUCUUCUUGGUUGAUCAGUUAUAUUUUUAGGGUUUUAUUGUGAUUUGUCGGUGUGUUGAUGAUUGUCGAGUGUGGGGGCAGGUUCACUAGUGCAGUGCUAAGGGGGAGCAAUUGGGAGAUCCCAUUGCCGCCUUUCGGAAAAGGAUGGUAAGAUUUGGUUUCAACUUUCAAUAUGUUUCUUCUACCUUCAAAUAUUUAAUAGAAAUCAAACACUUUGAAAAACAUUGGCAAUGUAUUGACUACGGCUAUGUCUAGGCCGGGGUUGGCGUGUCUACUCAAUUGUGAGAUUUCUUAGGUUCAACUCCCUCACUCUCAAUUUGGUUUUCUCAGGGGCGAAAAAUGAGUAAUAUUAGCAAUUUAGAGGGGGAAAACACAUUGAGAAUUGACUUUGUAUAGAUAGCUUUCUCUGUUUAGUAAGAGAUGGACGAAGAACAAACUUUCCCCUGCUAUUGCCAGAAAGGAAACUAGAAUACUAUGUCAAUUGCAGUUUCGCAUUAUUUCUCAUUGAAUAUGCCUUUGUCUUGCACUUGUGAUGAUUGAUAACAUCUUCCAAGCUAUAGUUAUGCUUUAGGAGUUGUUGAAAUUAAGAAUUUAAGUGUCGUGGCACGGGAUCGUGUCAUAAACUUGCUAGCACAGUAUGGCACGGUGCGUACUGGGCGGUAUCGAUGCGUACCGAUCACAAAAAAUAUGUGUACCAACACAUAAUGAUAUGAAAAAUUUAUUUUCUUUAGCAACAAAAUUUUCUAGUUGCUUAUUAAGUACCUUUAUCAAAUCUUUUGAAUUUUAUUGAAAAAAUUACUUACUAAUUUAAAGUAAAAAGGGUUUUAAACUGUGCUGUCGGUAUGGGAACUGUAUCGUAGCGGCAUAUUAUUGGCAUGAUACGGUACGAAAGAUACCGCCCGUGUCAAUAGGUAUUUAAAUCCUUGGUUGAUUUGGACCGAAGUUAGUGAGCCUGAAUUUGUUUUUUUGUUUAUUUUGUUCUGAUUAAAUAAGGGUAUACCCUAUUUGAGGAAGUGCAAGUGUGAGUUUGAAUUUGAAUAUCCAACAAAUAAUUUUCUGUGAUUCUUUUUAUUGGUGUGGCUUCUGAUCCUGAUGAUAAUUGUUUUGGUUUGUUAAGACCGAUUUCAACAAAAUCUGGCUAAUGGCCAUUUUGACUAAAUUUGUUGUUGUAUUUAUUCAGCAGAGCUGUCAGCAUUAAAUGAAAAAUCAAAGUUACUAGACUAUGUAUCAUUAUUAGAUUUGCCUCAUAUUUCUUCAACCUUGUACUGUUAGUUUUAUUGUUUCGUCAUGUUCAUCUGGAAGCCUCCGACCUAUAGAAGUUAUCACCUGCUGCCGGAAAUAAAAUAAGCACUUUUUUUUUGUAAUUUUUCUCUCAAUAUUUGGUAGUUAAGCUAUCAGAGCUUUUGAAUGCCCUGCAUUAAGUACACAUCAUGUUUUUUGUCAUGUAGGUUUGAGUCUGUAUAUCUAGAUGAAGACAUCCGAGUUGUAAAGGACAUACGAGGGGAUUAUUUAGUUGUCGAUCGAGCACCUUAUAGUUGGAAGGAAUGAUUGGUGCGAACGGAAAUCACUCUCUUCUCAUAUUAUCUCACUUUUCCUUGUAUUGGAGCUAUUUAUAGUGGGUGAGUAUAUAUGUUAGCAAUUAUCUAGUGGAGUAUCACCAUGUGAAGCAUCUCAAUAGGUUGUUAAUUUUCACGGGAAUUUUUGCGUGCGAUGUCUCGUACUAUGGCGUUCAUCCUUUUCGAUUGUGAAGAAGAAGAAUUCCUGAGGAAUAUUUUUUCAAGUCAUGCUCAUGUACAUUUCUGUAGUUAUAAUGAAUGAAUAAGCAUUCAUUGUAUACGAGGUAACAUUAGCUUGUUCAGCAGUAAUAUUAACAAAUUUCCUGCUGAUUGAUGUAUAACUAGCAAUGUUAAUAACCUUGAAAUUGCCUUUUUAUUUCCUGCAUCUGAAGCUAUCAUACCUUAAGGUACCAAUCUUUCUAGCUUCCAACUUACGAAACUUAAUUGAAGGAUCAUUAUGCUGACAAUAAUUCGCCUUUUUUUGAGUCAGAACACUUGCCUACUGCCUUUCAGCACUUCGUCAUUCUCCUGAGAGGGUUAGCAUGUUUCAUCUGCUUGGAAGAAGAUCCAAAAUGUCCAGAAAAGCUCAGGUACGGACAACUAUAUACUUCUGUCGACUUCGUAUUUAUUUUGAAGAAUGUACUGUUGAAUAACGGUAGUUAUAAUUCCAUUUAGUCAAGCAUCUGUUCUUGCUUCUUUUUAAGAUCAUAAUAUUACCCUUUUUAUCACAUUAAUGUGUCGGUAAUCUUGUUUUAAUGUCGUUCAUCAUCACCAUCUAUUCUAGUCAUCUUGCUCUUCUACAUGAUUAUAGCAUAUCCAGUAACUUUGAGGCUAUGUCAUUUUUGAGUCGAGGAUAUCCCAGUGUUUUCUAUUCCUUGUAUGCGUAAAUAACCUUUGCUGAUACUUUACUCGUCUCCAAAGUUUUUGGGAUUUGCUCUGGUAUGUUACAGAUGAUUUAGAUUAUGACUAAUAUAUAUUUUUUAAAGUUGGGAGUUUUUAAACUUCAUUCUCCAAAUCGUAUUCGAAUUCAGAUUGAUGCUGUUGUUAUUGUUGGGACACUGUUAACAUCAUUGCAGAGUCUACAAUUAAUUCGGGCACACAGUGAGUUCCCAGCGAUGAAAAGGCUGGAGUCUUUUUCGUUUUACCCUUUUUUCUUGGUAAAAAUAUAUGGAGACCCUAGCUUUAAUUUUUUAGUUUACACCUCCUAUAACUUCUAUCUUUUUCAUUUGAACUUUUAUAAUUUGCUAAGUUCAAAUUUUUGUCAAAUUUUAUUGCUUAAUUACUCAUUAGCAAUUAAUUAGUCUAACUAUAUUCACUAUAAAAUAGUUUAUAUUAUUAAAUUUGAUCAAUUAACAUGGUAUUUUUAUAAUUUAUCCGGCUAAAACAGAUUUCAACAAAAAAAAAAAAUGUUGAGGUGCAUUAAUCAAGUAAAAAAUAUAUAUUCUAUUUCAGAAUGGCCUAUAGCUGGGGAGGUGUCCAUGAUUUUAUUUUACUUUUUUGCAAUUUAUUUCACGUUUUUUUAUUGAAUGCUUUUAAAUUUAAUUUUACUUUUAAAUUAUUUAACAAUAUUACUAUUAUAAAAUAUGUAACUAUUUGUUUAUAUAUAAAUCUUUUAAAAGUAUAAAAUAAGGGUCGCCCCACCCUGUUGAACGGUGGUGCGGCUGUGCUGUGUCUUUUUGAGCGGUGCGGUUUCAGUUGACGGUCGACAGCUGCUCCUGAGAAAUUUUAGAGGUUAGCGAUGCGGACGCGUGUGAAGGCGUGGAAAUGGUGGUGAAGCAAACUAUGCUCUACUUGUUAGAAUCUUAUUGGUUUCAUAUUGUGUAAGCACAUCUAAUUAUAUCGACUGAUCUUAAAAUACACUAAUUAACUUUUUAAUUUCAUUCGUUUUAAGUUGAAGUUAUCGUAUUGUCAUAGGUCAUACCUUUUGUAACUUUACAUGGUAUAAUUCAAUUGACUAGUGGUAUACAUUUAUGACAUAAUUGUUGUAUUAUCCUGUUAUUAGGACUUGGUCUAUGUAGUUCUAAAGGAGCGAGAAACUGGUUCCAAUACGUAGUAGUCGAAUCAUGGCCCGUUUAACUUUUGUAGGUCAGAUUCAUCCCGUCCGUCCAUGUGAACCUGCUACCACUAAGCCUUCAAUUGACCGCACCUUGAUCUCGACCCCCACCAAUUGGGAUUUGGCGUGCUCUCCAUAAUGUCCAACUUGUCAUUUUAGUGCUAAUGAUUAUUACCCUUGGGUUAGAUCCUACCGCUCGAUCUUGAUCCAAUGGUGCUUAUAAAAUAGGCAUCGAUGAGUGAUUGCUUUUAUAGCGACGAUGACGCUCUCCGUUAAAUUAUUGCUGAGGCAAUUAAUAACCAGAUAGAAAAUUUCCUCACGCCUCCUCUUUGCUCUGUGCUAGUGUGGUCUAUACAAAUUUCAGAUCAUCCUAUGUCACACGUAAGACUUUAAUGUUGCAAUUAGAUAUUAGAUGUUGACAUGAAAAAAAGUCCUCUAAGGUAAAGUUGUAUUCUUAUACAAAAUAAGAUGGAUUUUUUUUUCUUCUUUUUCAAAGGUUCUUGAAAAUAAGUAAAGAGUAAACACAUCAGUAAUAAAGGGCAUAAGAAAAUGCUUUAUAGAAAUUUAGUUAGAUGAUAAUUAAGCAACUUCCUAUCGAAUAUUAUCCAUUAUUAUGGAUGCUUUAUAGAAACUAGUUAGAUGAAAAUUAAGCAAACUCCUAUGAAUAUUAUCUGUUAUUAUAGAUUGCAAAUAUUGUUGCUUUUGCUAUAUUUUAUUAUCAUUAUUAUACAUAUUAUAGCCCACGAGAUGUGGUCCUAGCUGAUGGUCGACUCAACUCACGUGAUCAAAUAAAAAGUUGAUACAUGAUACUCCAAAGGUGGGAAAAAGAAUUGAAAGCAUAGAAGCAAGUCUAUAGCCGAUCAUUCAGUCAAACAUAUUUAACUUGCUAUAUAUAUCUACACAAAACAAAAUAAAUGAAUGAGAGCAGAGAACUCUUCUUCCCUCCUCCCCUCCUCUCCUUCUAGGACCCACCAAUUCACCGUAACCAGCUUCUACACAAACUCAAAGGGAGGGACACAUCAUAUAAACGGAAAAAUAACGGUCGCAGCCGCCACCAGAACUAUUCCUACACGAGUACUAGUACUACUCCAUGCGGCGGCGACGGAAGCGGAGGCGGACGUGUCGGACGACGAUGCGGAGAGCGAGCUGAAGCUGAAGUUGGGGUUGGAGCCGUAGAGCGCUUGCACCCCUCGGACGUCGUCGGCGCCGAGCUCCGCCUUCCUGGUCCGGGGUCUGAGGCUCGGGUACAUGACGGCCCCCCUCACCGGCGAGUGCGCCAGCCCCAGCACGUGCCCGAUCUCGUGCGUCGCCACCGACUCCAAGUCCACCGCCACCGCCGAUCUCUCCGCGUCGAAGUCCACGGCCCACCGCUCCGCCGCGUCGAGGUGGAGGCGGCCGCUCUCCGGCGAGAACGCGUGCGCGAGCACCCCGAGCACCCCGUCGAAGGGCUCGCCGUCGCCGUGCUCGCCCGCGUAGAACCCCACCUUCACGUCCGCGGCGCCGUAGUCGCGCGCCUCCGCGAAGCGCACCGGGAUCACCCGCGCCCACCGCGCGAACGCGCGCCGGAACGCCGCCGCCACCGCCGCGCGCGGCACGUAGUCGAUCGUCGCCGCGGGCGAGAUCGCGUACGUCAGCACCAACGGGCCGGGCCGGGCCCAGCGGGGUGAGCCCGGAAAGAACGCGAAGCGCCGGACCGAGUCGGCUCGGGCGGCGGGGCGGUCGGGGACGCCGCAGCGCGGGGCGGCGAUCUCGGCGAGCGUGGCGGCGUCGAGCUUGCCCGAGACCGGGAGGCCGAGCCGGGUCUGGUAGAGGCUCACGGCCGACUCGAACCGGGCGUCGAACGAGUCGGUCCGGUCCGACGCGGCCGAGCCGGGGAGGUAGCCGAACCGGGCCAGGUAGCGCUUCAGGUCCCCCACGCCCGCCACGUGGCUCCCGCGCCCCGCGCCCAGGAGCCGCUCGGACGACCGCCACGUGUCGGUCGGGCUAGCCCCGUCCGGGGCGGGCCUCGCGAGGAGCGAGGGGCAGAGGAGGAGAACGAGGACGGUGGGGAUCAGAGGAAGCAUUACUACAAGUCCCAGUCGGAUUCAAGCGUGGGAUAUUGAUAUUUUUUAAGUACUCGGAUGGAUUUUAUAGUUAUUCUCGUUAUUGGAACCGAGCUAUAUAUGUUGGGGUCCGGUUCGUUUUGGUUUGUUGGUUGGUCUGUGGGGCUUGGAGUGGGUUACUUAAAAGGAGGAAGGUGAUGAUUCAGCGUUUGGUCACCAACUGGCUCUGCCACGGACUUUGCUUCUCCGAUCUCGUCUCUUCGAUGUGGAUGUACUCAAGACACACUCGUCUUCUCUACGAAGACUAGGCCCAUCGCCAAACUAUAUUAAUUAAUUUUCUGUCACCGCAUACACUAACCAUAUGAUACAUAUUUAGACACUAUAUAUUGAAAAGAAGGAAAUAGUGAAAAAAGAAAAAAGACAGGUCUGUAAAAUCAUUUAUUAAGGAGCGCGCGUAAUUAAGACUUUAAGUCAGAUCAUAGAAAAACAUAACACUUUUUAUACUGAACAUUAACAUAGACUUUAUCCGCAAAAGAACAUAACUUACACACGAUUAAAUUAACACUGCUACGUACAUCACUCACUACACAUAAGGUAUACUAAUUAAUUUUAUUUCUCGAUCUUCAUGCACUCCAAAUGACUCUUCCCAUCAAGCUUUGCGGCCAAGAAGGACUUGGCGAAAUCGAGAAAGCCUACUGUUUUGUAAAGCAUCUCCCCGUCCUUUACGAGCUCCGGAAGAGGGCCGACAAUGGAGUUCUCAUGUGUGCUGUGGAAUACAGCAGCUGAGAUGCGUUCUCUCUUCGUGUUUAUCAUGGCCCGAUGCUCGAUACUUUUGUACCGUCCAUUGCUCAGUACCUGUUCCAGCAAAUAAUAUUAACAACAGUAAUAAUAAUUUCAUAUGAUUUUUUAUAAACAUGUCAAAUAAUAAAUAUAUUUUUUUAUAUAAAAUUUAAAUUAUUAAAUUUAUUCUUUUUUAAAAAAAAUGCAGCGCGACAUUCAUAUUUACCAUUUUACUUUGUUACUGUUAAUUUAUUAUUUAUUUUUUAGCAAAAAGUAAAUGAAAUGUUACUUUCUUCGUUACAAAUGAAAAUACCAAUGGUUAGAAACGCGUCAAAAUACCCUUCCCCAAAAGGUUAUCUUUUUACUAUAUUACUAUCAACCCAAUUCGCUAUUAUUGUAACCUUUUCUGCACCUCUUCGUUCGCUCGUUUUUUCCUUAUCCAUUUUCUGCUUCGUUUUUUCACUAUUUUUUCUCCAUUUUAGCGGCUCAGGGUGCCUUCGUCGGAGGGCUCUGAUUGCUGGCUUCGUCGCUUCGUAGGCCUCGCAGGAGGACACGAACGCUCUUCACCAAAGCAACAGUGUUCAUUCGUCUUCAGACUCGGACCCAUUAGUUAGUUUAUAAGAUUAUAAUAUAAACGAGAUGAAAAAGAAAUAAUUUACUUCUUUCACGGAUCAAGAUUGUUACGUAUUUUAUUCAUAAUUAACUAAGUUUUUUUAAGAGACAUCAACAGUAGGAAUGUAUAUUGCAGCCAUUAGUAUUUCUAGAGAUUUUGUGAAGAUAUUUUGUUAUUUGUAAUGUUACAGAGAGCCAUAUAAAUUAUUCAAAAACAAAAGCAAAAAAAAAAAAAAAACCUUUAAAUUAAAGAUUAGCAGAUUAUGCAAAUAAAGUUUGUAGUUUCUAUUGCUUGCGUUUAUUUCUAACUUCACCUCAAGGAUAUCUCCGAUGUUGACGAUAAGCGCGCACGGAAGGGCUUGAACCGCGACCCAUUUGCCGCCCUUCUUUAUCUCCAAUCCAUGAACAUCGUUCACUUGCAGAAGCAGCGUCAACCCCGAACCGUCUGAGUGCGGCGAAAGGCCCAACACCUGAUCGGCCUGCGGGCAGGGGGGAUAGUAGUUCAUCCUCAAACUCUGCGGCAAGUCGUCGAAGAGAUUAAGCAGCACCUCUGCUGCCACUCCCAAGUCCUUGGCUAUCAACUCCAAAAGACGGCCUGCAAUGUCCUUCAUCUCCAGUGAGAACUUUUCAAGCGAGUCCCUGAAAACGGAGAUCCGACGAAUCGCGUUUGUAACCAAUGAUUUUUUGUUUUUGUUUUUUUUUUUUUUGACUAAACAGGGAUAUACUUUAUUGAAGAAAAUGCAACAUCAAGUAAAAUGGCAGAAAAGAAGACUCGGUCGAAAAUACGGUUAUCCUAACCACAAACUUACUUUUCCCCAAGAUCGAAGCCCAUAAUUCAGCAGAGGAAAUAAUCUUGCUGCCUACAUCUUCGUUUCGAGUGUGACGGUUGUCAAAGAUUUGUGAAUUCCGUUCUUUUCAAAGUUUUCAGUGUAUCGCGGCAAGACAAAAAUCGAAAAGAAUUUUAGCGAGAUCCGACUGCGAUUUUCUGAUUCGACACCAUCUAGUCGCUAUAUCUCCUAUUUGAUUUAACAACAAGUACUCAGGGGUCGGUAUGUUUUGCAAUAGUGCAACCCAUAAAGACUAGACAAACCUACAACCAAAUAGAAUAUGCUCCGGAUUUUCAUCAUUUAUGAAAUAUAAUACGCAUAUAGACGAUCUGUUCCAUCCUCGCUAAACCUGUAUAUCCUAUUUUGUUAAGACGUAUUGUUUUACUAUUUGUUACUUUUGGAGUAUUCGGGCUAACUAUAUUACAAUUUUAUCGGAUCAACUUUUCGAAAAUAAGACCGACCGUCCCUAGAGCAAGUGGCAAAAGGCUUGGUGGUUGGUACCCGAGACCCAAGUUCGAAUCCUAGUUGAUUCAUAUUUCUAGCUAAGUUUAUUUCUAAAUGAAAUAAACGAAGCAGAUAGCGUGCUCUACCUAUUUCUCAAAAAAAAAAAACUUUUCGAAAAUAAGGUAUAGUUAUUUCUCACCUGAAAGUAGGAGGGUUAUUAGGCCAGAAUCUCAUGUCCCUCGAUGCGACCGGCCGAACGAUGAGGAAGAACAUGUCGCCCCAGUCCAGUUUCUGGUCCUCCGAUGUAACGAAGGCCUGGCCGUAACCUUCGAGACCGUUCGGCAGCUGCGAAUACGCCUUCUUUUGCUCGAGGGGCUGCUUGAAGAAUUCGAUUAUGUCGGCCCGCAUUUUGUCGAUCACUUCGUCGGGCACUCCGUGAUUUACGAGCUGCAUCAUGUGAGAUCAAAAAAAAUGUGGACUAUACACAAAUCUAAUUCAUGUUCAAAAAUGUGCCGAGUAAAACGUAAAGGGGCUUUUACAUGGGCCACUAUGAUUGAUCUGUUUGAACAUGCGCCUUAAAUUAACCCCUAUACCCCUAUCAAAUUAAAGAUUAUUACAAGAUCAGGUUAAUAAAUUAUCAUAGUUAAAAUAAACCGAUCCUAAAAGUGUUACAAAAACGUUUUCUAAGGCUACUUAUAAUUACUAAUAAAUCACCUGGAAGAAACCCCACUCUUCGCAAGCAACUCGAAGUUUCGCGGACUCCUCUUUAUAGAACUGGGGAUCAUUCAACCUCGCGAGAUCGAUCACCGGAAGAUCAACUCCAUUUACGCAAUCGACUGCUUCGUGCUCGAUCUCGGGCCUAAUGUAUCGCUCGGGGAUAUUCUUAUUUUCGUGUGACCCAUUAUAAGUCGACGCGAGAGCCUGCACGUUCUCAACAGGGAGGGAUCCAGUAAUCUUUCCACGAUUCCAUUUCUCCAUUUUCCUUCUUAGCUAUGAAGGUGGAAUUUUUCUGCUUUGGAUCUUCGAGUGAGUGAAAACAUGUAUUGGAUAGAUAUAUAAUACUGCACUGAUGACCCUUGUGUGAUUAUUUAUAUGCAUUAAGAACCCAACUUUUUUCUCUUUGACUUAUUAGCUGUUAAGACAUGUUCCAUUUUGUCAAUGAGCAAUGUGACAAUUUUUAAUGAAGCGGUUGGUGUCAUAGACUUGUAGUUGCAUGAUUGAGCUAGAAACAAACUUAUUUUUCACAUGUUUUUAUUGUUAUUAUUAUUUUUUUUUAUAAGAAAAUAAAGAGGGGUUUAAAUGUCACCUAUCAUGAGCUCCUAAAGAUAGGAUCAAUCUCCACCAUCGGAUUCAUUGAUGGAUGACAAAUUUUAUUUAAUUUGUCCAUUAUAUUAUAAAGAUUAUCUUGUCUCCAGGCAAACAAUUAGAUUAAAAUUUCUACGAAUCGCGUGCGUAGAAAAUUUGCACCUCAUUUCUGUUGCCAUCCUUAAUAUUAUAACCUGGAAAAUUUGAACCUCAUUUCUAACAUCGUUAGGCGGAAUAGCGGGGAUAACUUUUGUUAUUCCCGUUUAUCCCUCGAACCAAACGGGGCCUAAAGUAUACCAAGUUACAUAUUUUAUAUGGCAAGUCUAAUUGAUCAUAAUAUUUUCUUAAAAAUCUAUAUCAUCAUAAUGUAUAAAAAAUUAUUGUUAACAAUAAUUUAUAAGAAAAAAAAAAAAUAGAGUAACCCCUUUUUCUUUCCUGGACCAGUUAUUUAGUAAAGUUAAAGUAAGGUCAUGAAAUAGUUAAAGUUAUUUAUUUUAAUGUAACAUUAUAAAAAAAAAUUUAAAAAAUAAAUAGCAUACUACCGGGUUGCGUUUAUUUUAUUUAAAUUUUUUCGUUACUAAUCGGCCAAAAUAGAUUCCUUCAUUAUAGAUUUGUACGAAUUUUGAAGUGGCAAACAGCGAAUAAAGCGACCUGACACUGAACCAUGUCCACUAUUUUUUAUAUAUUUAUUUUGACUCUAGUCUGUGUUGUAACUUGUAACUCGAAAGCUCCCUUCCUCUCUUACAAGGGAGUUUCUCACUCCCUUUGUUUACAGUCGUUCUUAAAACGAUGCCGGGAGUUCGCACCGUUAAAGUCUCCCGUGUCCAUCUCGCUGCGGACUCUAAUUCUGCGUCCGAAACGAUCACGCCGCUCUCCUUCUUCGAUAUGCGUUGGAUCUCGUUCCAGCCCGUCCAAAAUCUCCUGCUCUACCCCGAUGCUCACCUCUCUCCUUCCUCUUUCCACUCUUACAAAUCAUCUCUCUCGAAAACACUCACUUUAUUCCGCCCGCUCGCCGGUAAGCUCGCCUACCGCCCCGCGUUGGACGAUGUCGUCAUCGACUGCUCCUUCGACGACGGUGUCGCGUUCGUCGAGGCCCUGUCGGACAUCGACGUGCGCCGCAUCGCCGAAGACGACACACACGAUACCGGGGCGUUUCUGAAUCUCGUGCCGGAGAUCGCGGCGGAUGAGAUGCCGGUGCCGGUGUUGGCGGUGCAGGUCACGGCGUUCGUCGGGGGCGGGGCGGCGGUGGGGGUGGCGAUCCACCACGCGGCGGUGGACGGCCGGGCGUUCUGGCGGUUCGUGGAGGCGUGGGCCGCGGAGUGCCGUGCGGACUGUCGGGUUGUGCCGGGCCCUCUGCCGUCGCAUGACCGAGCGGUGAUCGCAGUCCCCGCAAAGGACGCGAUCGCGAAGAGGUAUUUGAGCUUCCUGGCGCCUAACCGACCCAAGGUACGUAACUGUAUGUUUGUAAGUAAUUGCAUCGCUCAUGUACUGGUAAAAGAUUGGUUUUAAGAAAAAGUUUUUUAUAAAAAUAUUUAUUUUAUAAUAUUUAAUUUUCAAAUAAAAGAUUCGAUUGAAAAAUCAAAAGAAAAUUAUAAAAUUUGAAAAAAAAAAAUCAAAAAAAAAUUAUAAAAAAAAAUUAAGCAGACCAAAUCAAUCUGUCUACUAUGUUUUUUUUUUUUAACAUAAUAAAUAGGUCUAGACCAAUUCAUCCAACCGCGUUGGACCUCAAAUUUUAAGAUGUGAAAAAGCCAAGCCGAGAUCAAAUUUUCGUUUCUUCAGUUGAUUCCGCUAGACACCGCGAUAGCAAUACUCGGCUCAGAGCUACCUGACACAGUCAUUUUCAACUAGAAUUUACUAACUUACAUGAAGUGAUCAUUUUGUUUGUUCCUUUUGCGACCCUUUUACUAACUUUAGUUUAUACCCAUCUCGUUUUAGUUGCCACCAACCUCAAACAAAUCCCUCCAAGAUCGCCUACGUCUCACGAGAAGAACCUUCACACUGAACGCAACGGCAAUUCAAUCUCUAAAACAACGAGCAAAGCUGCUACAACUACUACACGAGGAACGUACGAGUCCACUCUCAAGAACCCCUUCCACCUUCGAGGCCCUCGCCGCGCACUCCUGGAUCUCUCUCGCCCUCGCCAAGGGCCUUGCCCGCGAUCGCCCCGCAUUCCUCUUCUUCCUCGCCGACUGCCGUGCGCGCCUCAGCCCACCCGUCGACGCCAACUACACGGGCAAUUGCCUUCGUGGUGUCAAGGUCUGCUCCACCGAGUCAAACCUCACAGCCCCCGAUGGGCACGCGAGGGCUUGCGCGGCGAUCGCACGAGCGGUUCGUGCAGUGGAGCAGGAGCCGGUGCGAGGGAUCGAAAAAUGGCCCGAGGAGUUUGCGAGCUUACCUCCAGGAAUGAAGGUGGUGUUAAAACUUACGCACGUAAUAAUAGCGUCGUGCAAAACGAAACAAAAGAAUGAAAAAAUAUGAAUGUGUUUGUAAUAGGUUAAUGUGGCGGGAUCACCACGGCAGGCAGGGUACGCGACAGACUUCGGAUGGGGGAGGCCGAGGAGGGUGGAGCUCGUGUCGAUGAACUUCGAUGGGGAGGUGGUGAUGUGCAAGGGGAGGGACGAGGGCACGGUGCAGGUAUCCGUCGCGAUUGCCGCGCAGCAGAUGGAGGCUUUUGCCGAAGUGUUCUCGAGAGGUCUGGAUACCGCCAAGCACUCCAAUAUUCGUGCAUUAGUAGGCAAAUUAUGAUGCAUCUAUUGAGACAUCAUAAUCUGUUGAAGCUACUGCAGAGUUUGCACGUAACAGAGUAUGGUUUGUUGGUCUUAAAAGUCUCUGUUCACGUAUCAUUUUAUAUAUAUAUAUAUAUAUAUAGAAUUAAGCUAGAAUACUUUUAAAAAUACUAAUCCCUUAGUGCUUCUAGGCUUCUAGCCCUUGGAUCUACUUCUUGUUUACUAAUAGUCUUUGGAUUAAACACUAUUCCACCUACCACCAUCUGUCACCAUCAUUCCAACCUUACAUCUCUCCAUCCAAUGGUUAAAAACUCAAAAGUACCACCCUCUUGGUGCUUUUGAGAGUAUUCUAGUUCAACUCUCUCUCUCUCUCUCUCUCUCUCUCUCUCUCUCUCUCUAUAUAUAUAUAUAUAUAUAGUUGAGCUAGAAUACUAUCGAUAGCAAACCAGCACUUUUACCACCUAUUUGUUUUUUAUGAUGGAGCCUCCACAUCGACGAUCGACACUGUUGAACAUGAUCUACACCACUUGAAGUGUUUAGAAAUCAAAUUUCAAAUCUUUUCGACAUCAUUUGCCUAAUGAUCAAAGGGUUUUAAAUUUUGUAAUUUUAAUGGUUGAUAUGAAGUGUUUUCUCGUUUAACGGCGUAAAGAUAUCCAAAUCAAUUAAAUUUUUAUUAGAAAAUUCUUUAAACUAUUUAAAACAAGAUCUAUACUCUUGAUGUUAAUUACAAGACUCCUAUCAUCAUUUUUUUAAGAAUAAUCAUUUUCAGCCGUUCAUUUUUGUGCCCACUCGAUAGAUAAGAGAAAUAUAUAUAUAUAUAAGUAUAUAUAUAAUUAUAUUAGUAUAGAGAGAGACGAGAGAGAGGAGAGAGAGGAAGAUCGAGAGAGCGGAGAGAGAAGUCAGCUGCUUACUAAUCGGUAGCCACGGGCUUCCGUGCUAUCCAAGUUGUUUUCGGAUGAUGCGACUUCAAAUCGACGCAUGGACCUGCCGUUAGACGCCUGAUCUGCACUAUUAAAAGUUUUGAACACUAAUUUCACAUUUUUUCGAGCAGUCAUUUGACUAGUGAUCAAAUGAUCUCAAAAAUUGCCGCAUUUUAGCAUGGCCGACUGUGGCGUGUUGUGGUUUCAACGGUUGGUAAAACAAUUCAAAUCCGAUGAAAUUUUACGAAAAAUUUCUUCACUAUUUAGAGUAAGAUCAGUAUAGGUCUGGAUCUUGAAUUCUAAAUCCUUUUAUCAUCAUUUUUUAUGAGGUUUUUUUUCCAGCCACUUCAAUUUUACUAUUUGUUUGAUCAGUGUAAAUGAUAUCGAAAAAUUAUGAAUUUUCCUUUUCAAAUUACUUCUUAAUAGGUGCAGGUCAAGUCUAAUCGGAGCCGGAUCGUCCACUUGGAAGCCACAACAUCGAGAAACAACUCGUAGGCAGCGGGAGGCCUCGUGCUGACCGUAGUAUAGGAAGCUGGACUCUCUCUCUCUCGUCUCUCAAUAUCAUAUAUAUAUAUAUAUAUAUAUAUACUACUAUAUAUAUAUAUAUAUAUAGAGUUGAGCUAGAAUACUAUCGAUAGCAAAUCGACACUUUUGCCACCCAUUUGUUUUCGAUGAUGGAGAAUCCAAAUCGACGAUCGGCACCAUUGAACAUGAUCUAUACCGUUUUAAGUAUUUAGAAAUCAAAUUUCAUACAUUUUCGAUAUUGUUCUCUUAUCCAUCGAGUGGACACAAAUAAACGGCUGAAAAUGAAUAUUCUUAAAAAAAUGAUGAUAGGAGUCUUGUAAUCAAGAUCGAGAGUAUAGAUCUUGUUUUAAAUAGUUUAAAGAAUUUUCUAACAAAAAUUCAAUUGAUUUGGAUAUCUUUACGCCGUUAAACGAGAAAACGCCUCAUAUCGACCAUUAAAAUUACAAAUUUUGAAACCCUUUGAUCAUUAGGCAAAUGAUGCCGAAAAGAUUUAAAAUUUGAUUUCUAAACAAUUCAAGUGGUAUAGAUCAUGUUCAACGGUGUCGAUCGUCGAUUUGGAAGGUCCAUCAUCGAAAACAAAUGGGUGGCAAAAGUGCCGGUUUGCUAUCGAUAGUAUUCUAGCUCAACUCUCUCUCUCUCUCUCUAUAUAUAUAGAGAGAGAGAAAGAGAGAGAGAAAGAGAGAGAGAGAGAGAGAGAGAGCUAGGCUCCUAUGCUUUCGAAAGUACGGGAGGCCCCGUGCUUGUAAGUUGUUUUCGAUGAUGGGAUAUCCGAUUCGGCGAUCGGUUCCGUUAAACUUGAUCUACGCUAUUGGAACUAUCUAGAAACCUAAUUUCAUAAUUUUUUGAUUUCGUUUGUCUAGUGAACGAGUAGUCUCAAAAUGAACGGUUGAAAAUGAAAAUCUCAUAAAAAACAGUGAUAAAGGAUUCAAUUUUUAAAUCGGAAGUAUUGAUCUUGCUACUGAUGUUAAGUAGAAUUUUCUAUUAAAUUUUCAUGUAAUUUGGAUACUUCUACACCGUUGAACUUAAAAAUGUGCCACAUCAACCGUUAAAAUAGUCAUUUUUUAGACCUUUUGAUCGCUUAGUAAAUGAUGUCAAAAAAAUCUAAAAUUUGGUUUCUAGAUAGUUCCAAUAGGGUAGAUCAUACCUAACGGAGCCGAUCGUCGAAUUGAACGUCCUAUCAUCGAAAACAACUUACAAGUACGGGGGCCUCAGUACUUAUCGAAAUACGGAGACUCUAUAUAUAUAUAUAUAUAUAUAUAUAUAUAUAUAUAUAUAUAUAUAUGAUCAUUGAAGCUUGACGAUAUAAAACAACAUUCAAGUGUUUAAAUUUUGAUAAAAACGCCACACUUCAGAAUACAGAGGAAGAGGAAAGUUCCUUCUCGCUCCCAGAGUCUCGCUAAGAUAUAAUAGAUGCCUGUGUAUUGAAAUCAUAAAAACCAACUAGCUCCUUUAACUACGAUCCGAUCUGCUAUAGUUCAAUUUUAUGCGAAACAAUUCAGUAAUCUAUGUCCCAUUCCAAUAUGACUACCAAGUUUCAUUUGAUUGGAGGUUCAAAAAAGAAAGAAAAAAAAAAAAGGAAUUUGUCAUUACUGGAUCCUAAUGUUACCUCAUAACAGAGUAGAGCCCAAAGCAACAAACGAGAUGAUCUCACUGAUCUCUCCACCUAUGGCCGCAGUUGGGGUUGCAGCAAACAAAGAAAAGGGUCAUGCCUUCCUCUCCUCUGGACGGGGCCUGCAUAUUAUCCACAAAAUGAACCACAAAAAUACAUAAUUAAGAGAACCAAUGUAAACUCGAGUAGUGACGCACUGUCAAUUAAUCAUGCAAAGGCAUCAAUUAAUGCCCCUUAUUUCACAGGUUGUUUGCAAUUACUAAGACAAAGGACAUGAUAGAAUGGUACUAAAGCAACAUCUAAAAAUAUUGGAGUAAGAAGAAAGCUGUAGGGUUACUGAACAUGGAAAAAAAAGACAAAUAAUGAAUAAUGAUAGGUAUAUUUAAAUGUUCAUUUACACGUGCUGUAUCAGCCGUAUCAUGAGCUAUAAACAUCUAGUUGUGUUUGGCGAGAUAAAAAAUUCGUGGCACAGGACAAUGAAUGAGCAUUUAGUUUCCCUAUUCCUGCUAGUGUUCAUUGCGUUAACACAGGAUCUCAAAUUCAGCCUGAUACUCCAUAAGCAAUUGAAAUAUGACAUAUUACAACCUGAUAAUUAUUGGCGCCACUGCACAACAUUGAUUAAAAGCAUAUAAUCAUUGUCGCUCGUAUUUAUUUUGGGACAUCGUGAGUAAUAUGGUUUAGCCAUUAGGAUUCUGCUAAUGCUAUUGAGUUAUUCUGCCAAGCCUGGCACUUUAUGUGAUGUAAAGCCUGUACGGCGCGCUACUAUUGAUUGACAUCACCAGAAUAAUAUAGACGAUUUUUGGUAAUUUAUCAUUUCAAACACAAACUAUAGCUAUAAGAAUGGCAGGCAAUAUUUGAAACUUGGAAUUAAGCUUCAUAUUCAGCUGUUAAGUACUCUAUCACCAUACUCACAAAAAAAAAAAAAAACAAACAAAAUAAAAAACCAAAUAGAAAUAAAACCAAAAUUAUGAUCUUGGAUAGAAGCACAAACAUUUUUUUUUUUUUUUAAUCUGCUUUCUUCAUAGUUGAUGGUAUUCUCAUAACGAAAUACAAAGUCUCUAAAAUGAAUCAUGAGGAAAAAUAAACUUGCAUUUUCAUUUCGGUUCAUAUGUUAUGCUUCUUCAAAUUGACAAAAAAAAUCACUAGGCAACAUCAAAUGUUGGAAGUGGCAACAGGGCUAACCUGGAAGAAUACAGCUUCAGGGUGACCGCAAGCAGCGCAUCGGACAGUUUUAGUUCGAGGAAGCGUUGGAUCUGAUGCCACAUCCUGCAAGAUCUGAGUGCGCUCACCAACAGAGUGGAGUACCUCGUUUCGAUAAACACAGUUGUUGUCAGAAACCUCCUGCACAGUUGAUGAAAAUGAAUAGGCCUCGUCAUUUGGAUGCGAUGAGCAACUCCGUGAAGUGAUGACAUAACAAGAUCGAGAAAACUAACACAAAUCCAGAUAAAAUAAAAGAUAAUUUUUCCUCUCUUUUUUUGAUGCAAUUGCUUCUAUAAUCUAUUAUUUCUACCUGAGCAGGCAAACAAACAUAACUACAACCAACGAAUAUCUUAGCUUGUUAACAAAAGGUUAAUGAUAACACAAGUUUGUUCCAAUUUCACAAGCAACAAUAUAUAUCUUACUCGGUGCUAAUUACAACUCACAAAAGAGAAUCUAGAAAACACUGGAGAAGAACACUCCAAAUCAUGAUUCCUUAGCUAUGAAUUAUGGUUUUUCUUCCCCCAAACCUUUUGCAAGCGAGGAAAUAUAUCAAAUUAUACAUAGCUAGAACACUCUUCAACACACACAAAAAACCCCUAAAAAUACUGCGGAUAAAAAGUAAAAAAACUUCCCUGGAUAUCCCCCACGCCACACAAUUUCAUCAACUCGAGCACACUCCACGAGAAAGAAGGAAAACCCUAGCAAUGCCGGGGAAGGAAACCCUAGAUCCCAAUCCAGGGCAAAAGAAGCGGAGAAAGGGUGCAAAGUUUUAGGGCGUAAACGAGACCUGGUGCUCGCAGUUGCGGCAUGCGAAGAGAAGGAUCUUGCGCUCCCUAUCCUCCUUGGGGUACAGUAUGUUGUUGCUGAAUAACAUAAGUAGAGGGGGAAUAAGAGAGGAGAGAAUAGUUAUUCCGAGAGGGAAUAAAAGGAAGAGGGGGUGUGUGUGAGAGCUUUUUUAUUUUGUAUUUUAUUUUUAUUUUUCUAAUGCACGAACCAUUCGCGGCAAAACUUCAUCGUACUCAUGGCUCCUGUUGCUGUUGUGGGCCUUCGUGCGCCUUUAUUUUUUUUUUAAAAAAAACAAAAACUUUGAUUUGAUUUUCAGUAGAAUAAUCGGAAUUGCACCGCCGUAGUUUUAUUUAUAUCUGGGGUGCGGGCCAGCGACGGUGGGACCUCGCGUGGGAGAGGACGGAGGAGAUCACGUGAUAGGCACGUGAAAAAAAAUAUGCAGGGUUGCAUGAUGCGGAGGCUUUCUUUUGUUUAAUUUUCUCCUAAUUUUCUUUUUUGGGAGUAAAAUUUAAUGGAUAGUCCACGAUUAUCGGACCUUUUUAACCUUUCAAUAGUUCAGAUUUUGAACUUGCUCAGUAUUUGUAAUUUCAUCCUUGAUAACUGAAAAAACAAAAAAAAUUGAAAAGACCUAAAUAAAUAAUAUGAUAGAAGCUAGUAUCGAAAUAAAAGUUAGCCACCCAUUUUGAUAUGCCAUAGUUUAGAAAAGGUUUGUGCAUUUUCACAAUAAAAAUCAUAAAAAUAAUAAAAGAAACCAAAAAAAUCAAAAUUUGAUUAACAUUCUUCAAAAGAAAAUGACUUUGCGCCAGGAAACCGAACACAAUCUUGUUUUUCAAACUUAGCUGGAACAGAAAUUCGGCUGUUCUGGCGUUGCGUUUAGUUUGAGAUGACAGGAAAAUGUACUACUAGCUAGAAACAAAGCUAUAAGAAACAAAAAUGUCCACGUAUUUUUUGCUAUUAUUAUAAAAGAAAACCUUAUCUCACGGCAAGUAGGCACCUCUCCCAAAAAUCUAAAUACCAGCAAUUUGUGCAAAUUCAUGGCUCCAGCGAAUCAGCAACUCAUUUAAGGAAAUUAACGAAAACAAACCAAGAGUCAAUUCUUCUGUUCUAUUGAGUACUAGAUGUUUAAAUUAGGGGUGAAAAGGUUCAGCACAUAAAUAACUUUUGAAGAAGAGAGAAUGUCUUGGUACCUAAAGUAACAAUACAAAUUUAAGCAGGCUACAACAUUUUACACCUAAAAAUAUGAGACAUCUUUCUACUUCCAAACAUAACAUCUGUAUUAUGUUAUGUACAAGAUCCAAGAGAACAUCACUUCCAAAAAGAGCUUCUACAUCAACAAACAACAUAGAGCGCCUCCUCUCAGCCAAAAGUGCUUCCUGUUUCAGCAUUCAAAAUUAGUAUGGCGAUUUAUUAUAAUGAAAACAAAAAAUUGAUCCAAACUUUCGAAUUAAAAAGUCACCACGCGAGGACGAGGACGAUGCACCUCUAUGUUGACCCCUGGCGCCCUUGUCAUGUGUAACGCUGGGAAUCUUGGAUAUGAUAAGAGAACUUUGCAAGCCCUCUAAUAGCUGCAGGAGUUAAAUCAAUCAAGAAAUGUAAGAAAAACACUUGGCAAGUGUAGACCGAUGAGAGAUUAGACAAAUCAAAGCACAGUUAGUGUCUGAUACUACAUUAAAAGAUCAUUAACAGGACACAGUUAGAAGGCAUGAUACCCGAUGAUACCUUCUAUAGGACUGCAACAACGUUCACAACAACAUUGGAACUAAACAAGAGGCGUAGCAAGGCUUACCCUUGAAGUUGGUUGAAUUCUGCGAUUUGAUCUCCGAGGUUGAAUUGCGUCAAGAUUUGUUCUUCCAAAAUUUUCAAAGGCCUUGUGUUCAUUUACAGUGGAUGUCUCCACAGCAGAAGUGAGCUUUCCGCCACCUCCAAUCUCAGGCUCAGAAGGGGUAGAUGGCUUCUUCUUUGAUGCUGGAUGACCCACUGAAGGCUCGACAUUAGAAUCAACUAGCGAACCAUCGGUUGUUUUAGCACUGUUGCGAGAAGAGCCAAGAUCCAGAGCACUCUUCUUUUCUAGAUUACUGCCUUGAUUGCUAAAAGAAGAACCGAAAGCACUAUCACCAACAUUUGAAGCAGACAUAGUCGUGACAGACAAAUUUUCCUUUUCGCCACUGAUUCUACCCUGACUGUUUUGGGACUUCACGGAUUUGACCACCCUUGGCUUGGGCUCACUAGAUCGCUUUCCUUUUGGGUCAACUUUUGAAGCACCCCAACCACGUGAUGUUUGUGGCAUCAGGUAUUUUGCAAAUUUGAUAGGAUUGUUCGCUUCGUCGGUCUUGUCGGCCUUAUCUGCAACAUAAUGUUUGCUUACUUCCAUAAAUUUCCUCUUCUUUCCCGGUCUAGGGACCCCAAAGACCACUCUCGAUCCUUCUUUCUGCAGGCCAGUCCUCUUCACUCCUAGUGCACCGGUACUGUCCUCCUUUCUUACAUUCUUUCCCAUGGUAAAAAUUCUAUCCUUUUCGGAUACAUUAAAGUGUCCAAACUCUUCUGGUUUCUUUGAAUUAUCAAGGUGACUCUCAGAUUCAAGCUGCCCUAGCCGCUGACGUUUCUCAUAUGGGGAAUCACCCUGAUUAAAUAAUAUUAGAAUUAACUAAAUGGGUCUGUCAAAAAUUCGCAUUGAAGCAAGCUCUACACCAGAAAAAGAUAUACAUAAAAUAUUCGAGAAUAAUAUGUAAGUAGAAUAAACCUCAUAGGGCUUGGUGUUUUUAUCUCUCACACGAGAUUGUUCUAUCCAGUGGCCAUCCUUCCAAACUAGGGAUGGACGAAGAUUCCAUGCUUUGACCACCAGUGAAUUGCCAGCUGAAUAACAGAUCCAAAGGCAAAGUAGUAAAUAAAUGACUAAACCUUCGUCAGUUAAUUUAUGGCAAACCACUUCCAUUGAAAAACAUCAGCAUAUUGAUCAGUUUAAUCUGUGACGACAAGUAACAGGAUUAUCUGGUUCUCCGGUUGUAACUUAUUUCUCAUACCAAAAGCUUCAGCUGCUUUUCUUGAUAAUUACAAGACAUAAAAUGCAUGAAUUAUCAAAAGAAAAAAAGUCUCUACAAGCCAGAACGGUAUAAUAUUUAAAAAUGAACACAAAAUACCGCUACAUCUUUUUGCUACUACAUCAAAUAGAAGCAGCAAAUUAUUAUAGAAAAUUAAAAGGACACAGCUUACAGUUCACUUCAUUUACCUGGAAAGUGAACAGUAAACUCUGUUUCAUCCGCUUGGCUCUUUUCAGUAAUAGUGCCUUCCCACCAACUGAGUAUCAUCAGCAACAUAAAUGAGGAGAGGAUAAGUUAUCCAAUUAUAAAGAUUAAUACAGAGAAGUGCAAGCCCACAUUAUGAGAACAAACUAAUGCAGCCAUUCAAAACUAUCUCUUUGUCAGUGUUGUAGAAUGAUCAUAGGAAAAAAGACAAAAUCAGAUGAAGGUAUCAAAAUGAUUAGAGAAAAAUAAUAAUAAUAAUAAUAAUAAUAAGCAAUUUUCUCCAUUUCUAUUUAGUGGGAAAGCUAGAAAGUAUUGCUGCUCAUUUUGGAGAAAGACCAAGAAACUUUUUGCCUCAUCUUCGCUCCUGGGAAAGCUAGAAAGUAUUGCUGCUCAUUUUGGAGAAAGACCAAGAAACUUUUUGCCUCAUCUUCGCUCCUCUCCUAAAAUUCCUUCGCUUUCCAACUUAUUUUUCCUGCCUCCAAGUCACCUCUAAUCAGACUAUCCAGCCCAAUCAAUUGAUAACAAAGACUCACGAGGAAUAGUGAGUUGACUUCAUAAACCAGAACUCUAAAUGGAACUGAUAUGGAAAGUUAAAUCAUGCUUAGCUAUAGGUCAUUUGAACAUCAGAUUUUGGUAUCAAACAAAUCUACAAGUUUAGAAAGUACUACACCUUUUAAAAGUUUUAGCUGCAUAAAUUGUUAUUUAUAACCACCUCAGAACAAUAUCAAAAAUUGCACUAAAACAUCUUACCCAUCUCUUAUCCAAGCAUCUACUCGAUCUCCGAUAGCCCAAGCAUAGUUUUCUAGCUCUCUGCGUCGCUUUCUGGUUCCUUCAAAUUUUGUAGUAGUCAUUGGAUGCGCAACACGUAUUCUUGGUGGCUUGUCACUGUCAUCCAUUAGUGGUAUCCACUCUUUAAGCUGACCGGACCCUACAAAACAACUCAGACGUUGAGUGUCUGAUGAAUCCCAUAUUAUUGCAAAAUGCAACACACACCGUCAGACCACUUGCAAUUGAUGGGGGGAAAAAAUCCAAUUGCCAAAAGUUCCAACAGGUGCAAAGGUUUUUGCAAGGGCCAAAUGAAAAAAAAAGACUAGUAGCCGCAAAUUAACAAGUAUUUACCAUCAUCAGGAAGACGAUCAUUAUAGCAGACGUAUGCUCUAUCAUCUUUAAUAUCAAGAACGCUCCCAGAACACCAAACUCCUCUAAGACCAUCAUCAUCAACCGCAACCUGACAUAUUUAGCACAAGGUAAGGCAAUAGCAACAGGUUCAAAAUCUUCAUUACAAGGAGUAAAUGUUGCCGUGAGAACUUUAUCUAAAGUUAGGCCACUCCAAAACCAGAUCUCCUUUGUUUUCCAAUAAACAGGUAAUAGGAAACACUACCAGAGUGAUUUCCACAAAAACAAACUGAAAUAGUAUAACAGAAAUAAAAUAACAACGAAUAGAACUUUUUAAGCUUCAAAUACAGGAACUCAACUAAACCUCACUUCUUACUAUGGUGGAAAGAAGACAGGUUUUAUUACAAGAUUAACUAACCUCAACAAGAGAUCCCUUUCGGAUGCUAUUUCCUUUAAGGCUUCCUAGCGAAGAAUCUUCUCCAGAUCUAUUGAGUGGAAUGUUGGCUAAUAUAUCUGCAAAUCAACUCUCAAAUUAAUAAAACAUAAAGCCAACCAGCAUGUUCAAGCGGUCGACAUUAGCACAUAAAAUAAAGCUGCAAUAUACCUGUUUGAUUUUCUUCCAACCGCAAGGACUCUUUGUUAGCAGAAAGUAACCCCUCACCAGCAAAUUUCUUUACCUCUUCCUGAUUUGAUGGUUGUUCAUUAGCUGGCUUGGCACCUGAUGUCUCCUGCAGCUGCAAGAUGUUUGAAGGUUUCUCGAUUACCGAAGGGUGAGCCUUCCAAUAAGCUUCAGGCCCAGAUUCAACCAACUCAGUUAUAGUUAGAGGUAAAGGAUCUCCCAUUGCAAUAAUUACUCCUGCUUGUGAAACAGCUUCAGCAGCAAGUUCUGCAGCUUUCAAUACGGCAUCCAAGUUCUCCAUCCGUUUUCUGGCAGCAGAGGCGGCUUCAACCCUUUUUCUAGCAACUUCUCGUGCUGCUGAAAUGAUCGAACAAGAGCCAGGGGCCGUGCUCUUCCCUUUCAAGAUUGAACCUGGAGUUACCAUUGCCAAAUUCUUACCCACAUCGAGUUGUCCAGUUUCCAAGAUUUGCGGAGUGACUGUUGUUAUAGCUUCAUCAGCCAUCAUCUUAGCCUGCAAAGCUGCUUCGGAUGCAACCUUAGCAGCUUCAGCUGCAGCCUUCGCAACAGAGGCUGCUGCUGCAGCUGCAACUGCAGCAGAAGCAAGUUUCUCUUCAGCUUCUGCAACUAAGCCCGAGUUCUUUUGUGUAGCCAAAUGACUCCAUAUGCCUUGGCUAUGCCUGACUGCUGCAGCAGCAUGUGCAGCAGCUUCUUGUGCUUGCUUUUUUGACUGCUCAAUUCUAUUGAAGAUCUCUUCAAAUAUAUGGGGCCUUUGCUCAGUACCCCCACCACCUAUUAUUGGAUAAUUAGAAGAAGUAAUCUGAGAGGUAGUAAGAACAAGGCCACCAGAGACAACCUUACUCGGAUGACUAGGAGACAAAAUAAGAGCUGGUGAAGAUGAAGACUGGUUACUAGCAAGAGCAGCAGAAGCAGGUCCUGUCCGAACUUGAGGGGCACCACUAGGAGACAAAAUAAGACCUGGUGAAGAUGAAGACUGGUUACUAGCAAGAGCAGCAGAAGCAGGUUCUGUUUGAACUUGACGGUCACCACUGAUCAGCUCCUGCUCCUCGGUAAUUACACCCUUUUUUCUCUUUCUUGGUUUCUGAGUACUAGCUGCACUCUUAGAAGAAGAAAUGGCUGCCUUCUUCGGUGUUUCAACCUGUACAACUGAGGCAGCAGAAACACUUGCGGAAACUGGGUUGGAUAGCAGAGUACUGGGUGAUACAAGUUGAACAGUAGGAGCAGGUGAAAUAGAUGAAUCCUUAGGAGGUGUUACUUUGGCUGUUUCAGCAGCAGGUACAGCCAGGGAGGCAGUUUCAAAUAUUGAGCUUUGCGAUGAAAGAACCCACGAAGUAGGGCGGGGGGUGUGAGAAAACCAAGGUCCAGCAUUGCCCGCAUACUGCCUCAUCUGUGAACUUGGAUAUGAAUGUAAUGGAGAUAAACCGAAAUCUAGAUGGGUGCCUCUUGGCACACUUGACUGUAAAUUAUCACGUAAAGGCAUAGCCCAUGAUGGUGAGGGCAAAGACACGGGGGGGAAUAAUAUAGGGGACGGCAUAGCUUUACUUACGCCUCGGCUAGAAGCUGACUUCAAGGAUUUGCUUUUACCAGCACCGUCCCUAGUUGAGGCUUGUUCAGCAAUCCGAGCACCUGCAGGUAAUUUACCAAUAAAACACUAUACAAUUCUGCGAAAAGAAUAUGAGAACUUCCAAAAUCAAAAAAUAUUUUAUUACCUUGCCGGGAGCCAAUAGGUGUUUCAGAAGUACUUAGAGGAGACUUCUGGUUCUGAUAUCUUUCAACAGCAGCAUGCCACAGUCCCUCCCACUUAGUCCUUCCACCACCUAUAUAUGCAUAGUACUAUAAUCUCUGCCUCUUUUAAUAGCAUUAUCUAUCAUACUUUUUACACUAUACCAAGAUAAAAUUAGCCAUUUACUAAACAAAAUGUACUAACCUGAUUCUCCAAAGGCCGAUAUCAUGCAAGCCUCAUCUGGGGGAACUCCUUGACUGCACCAUUUAAUUUAACAUGACUCAAUGAUGGAUCAAAGGGAAACAAUCUUUCAAUAAGAGGUUUAAAAAAAAAAAAACUCACAUAAGUGAUCCAUAAACAAAGAUUUGUGCACGCAGUUGCACUUGCUGUGAAUCAGUAAAGGGUUGAUGCGUCAAUGCUGCAGACGAAAUUGAAGUAUUCAAGUCUGGCAAACUAGAUGUCUCGCCAACUGGAGAAGAGGAGGCUUUGAUCCUACUGCUCUCAGUAGUUGGAUGUUGCUGCUUCUCCUUCGAAUGCUUGGUGUUGCCUGUGAAUUCAGCAAUAGGCAAAGCACUCAAUGGACUCUUAUUACUUUCUAUCAUCUGCUUUCGCUGCGAGGUCUCUUUAGCAGCAACUGUAGAGGAACUCAUCCUUUUGGAGGAACGACCUGAUGCCCGUUUACUCUUAUCUCCACCACUUUUCUCCGAAUUAUUUUUAGGAAGACUUCCAACUUCAGGAUGCAAAUGGUGUCCUUCAGAGUUCUUUUUUGAAACCUUAGCAGUUGAAAUUUGAGAACAUUGUGGUUAAUAAAAUUCUAGAGGCCUACAGAUAUACAAUCAAAUAACAAUUCGAAUAGAAAGUGAUUCCAAGCUACAUUAAGCGGGUGUGUGUGUGUGUGCGGGUGUGUGUGUGUGUGCAAGCGAGCGAGCGCACACGAGAGAGAGAGAGAGAAAGAGAGAUAGAGGGAGAGUUGUUGUACCACAGUAGUUUCACUGGAUUUGAUACUGGGAAAAGGUUUUAACUCAUUGCCGGUAUUAUUAUCUUUAGCAUCUGCAUCUGGUACCAAUCCAACCUCGAAGGAAAAGCUUUUAUCAUCUUUAGAUGUAGGACUUUCCGGUUUAGAUCUUUGACCAGUUUCAGAAAUUUGAACCGGAUUAUCUAAAGCAGGAUAUGUACACUGUGACAAUUCUUUGCUACCCUCCCCCCUUUCAUCUUGAGAAGGUUUACUGGAACUGAUAACUGUAGGCGAACCACAAAAAGGUUCUGCGGAACUUGGACUGUCCACUACAUCACCUGCACCAAAAUUAACCAGCAAAACUAAGUCAAAAUCUGCUCUUAUUGAUCUGCAACAACUGAAGAGAAAUAGCCUAUUCUGAAUAUCUUCUGUUCACAGGGAUAACCCAUGAUAGACUACAUGUAGCCUAUUAUGAAUAUCUUCUGUUCUCAUUGAAAGCCCACCAACACAACAAAUUCGCUCCUACCCACUAAAGUCAAUCCAAAUCACAACGUGACAUGGAAGAAAAAAAAAAAAUUUGAACAGCACACAGUCAAAACACCUAGUUCAUGUUUUCUCCAACAGUACAGUAUUUACAGGCUGAUUUGAUGCCGUUUCCCUACAGUUCAAAUCAUGAACUCAUUCCUGAUCGAUAUAUAUAGGAUAGCCUACAGAUGAUCUACAAACAAAACCUCAGGAGGAAAGAAGCAACAAUCACAGUCUAUCUUCUGCAUGAAAAGGAAAACAUAAUCCUGCCCGAUGUAAAAAGUUUUUUUUUUCCUACAAGAUAGUUUCCUCAAAAAAGGAAGCAUUAAUGACUGACCUGAUGGCUGGGUAUUCAACGAACUCUUUAAAUAAGUUGAAGUUACUGCAACUUCCGCAUUCUUAUCACACGAUUCAAUGCAACCGGAUACAGAUAAAGAUGACCGUUCCACUUCUUGCUCUACUACCACUGUCAUAGGAGUAUCAUCAGAAUAUGUCUGGGGAGGAGCAGUCAAGUUGUUAAGGGAGGGCCUACUAGAAUCGAGCUUGUCGCUCACAACUCCUGCUCAAAAGGAUACAUAUCAGAUAUCAUGACAAUACAUUUAACAUCAUUUUGAAAGAAUAUAUAUAUAUAUAUAUAUAUAUAUAUAUAUAUAUAUAUAUAUAUAUAUAGAGUAGGACUGCUGUGCUCUCUGUGCUCCUGAGCCGUUUUCGAUGAUGGAAUUUUCAAAUCGACGAUCGGCUCCGUUAAACUUGAUCUAGCGUAUUUGAAGUUUCUAGAAAAUAAUUUUUGCGAUUUUUCAAUAUCAUUUACCUAGCAAUCGAAAGGAUUCAAAAUCAAUAAUUUUUAACGGCUGAAAAUAAAAAUCCUAUAAAAAGUGGUGAUAUAGCACUAAAAUUUUCGAUCAGAAAUAUUGAUCUUGUUGUAGAUAGUAUAAAGAAUUUUGUAUUAAAAUUUCAUCUGAUUUGAAUACUUCUACACCAUUAAAUUUGAAAACGGCAGAUAUCAACCAUUAAAAAUUAUGGAUUUUGAAACCUUUCGAUCACUAGGUAAAUGAUAUCAAAAAAUCGCAAAAAUUAUUUUCUAGAAACUUCAAAUGCGCUAGAUCAAGUCUAACGGAGCCGAUCGUCGAUUCGAAAAUUCCAUCAUCGAAAAUGGCUCAGGAGCACGGACCUCCGUGCUCCUGAGAGCACAGCAGCCCUGCUCUAUAUAUAUAUAUAUAUAUAUAUAUUACAAAGACCAAGCAGAAGAAAGAACAUGCAUUUACCAGAAUUAUCCUGAAUCAAAUUACUUGGUGAUGAACUAUUCAUGACUGUUACAGUCUUUGUACUUUGAGCUUCAGAUAGGCACUUCAUUUCCUCCAUAACAGUGGAACUUUCACUUUGGGAUGUUCUGGGACCUAAACUAACGGGCAAUUCUGCAUCUUUUUCUCCUGUAGUAGAAAUAUGAGUGCUCAAGUGACCAUCCUUAGAUUCAGUCACCAAAUUAGAUAUGUCACUCGUCUCGACUGACUUCUUGUUGCUAGAAGAUAAAUCAUUCAAUUCCAAGUCAUCAGGUAAAGAAGGUGAAGUUUCCUUACGAAUAACAUUUUCUGAUGCAUCAAAUGUAAUUUCAGUUUUAUCAAUAGUUUCUUUCGCAUCUUCAUCUUCAGUACUCUUCAUCGAUACAGCUACUACAGCAUUCUGGCAAGUUAAAGUCAUUGGAUCAGCGGGGAAGUCGUUCACAUCCUCUCUUUCGGUCUCUGUUUCAUGUUUUCUUAAAUCUACCUCGAUUGGGCUUUGCACUGUAACACCUGGUUUUGAAAUAGCGUCCUCGCCCCCACUGGCAACCUGGCCCCUGGAGUCUUGCUUUUCUCCAGAAACCUCCCUAUUAGAAUUAAGCUCACUUUCUUCUCCAGUUUUGAUUACUCCAGCAUCUCUUGUUGAAAGAGGGUCCUCAGUAUGGGAAACAGGAUCCCUUGAAUGAUAGUUGGGUUGGUAAUGGCCAAUAUCUUCAUGUUGUUCACGUAUAUCAGAAUGCUUACUAAUAUUUGCACAGCCAUCCACAACUGAAUGCUUUGACAUAGUUACAUCUGCUUCCACAUCUAAAGAAGAUAUCUCCACAGCGUGCAGGCCAGUUUCUGUGUGAGUUACAUUAUCUUUGCUCAAAGUCUUUACUGGAUAAGCAAUAGAUUCCAAUAAUCCAUCAGAGCUCCCAGAUAAUAAGGAUUCAUUGGUUCCUUUCUGCAGCAAUUCAAUUGAUCCCAAAGAUUUCAUGUUGCAAAGAUCAGCUUCAACAGUGUGACUUUCAGAAUGCUGAUUACCUUCACCAUCAAAAGAGGCAACCUGACUUUUAGCUUCUUGCUUCCUGUUUGGAUGCAAAUUAUCUGCAAAAGUCCUAUGAAUCUCCUGGAGUUUCAUUACCUGCUCAGAAAAUAAUUGAUUAUCAACAGAUAGAGGAGAAGGGUCAGAAUUAUUUCCUUCAGUUUUGCCCUUUAAAGUAUCUUCCAAAGGAUUCUCAUCCUCAAACACCUCAAAAUACUCAUCAACAACUAAACAGCUUCUUGAUGUAUCAUUGGAAGAUGAAGCCAACUUGUCAUCUACGGUGCCUUUCUCGGCAAUGGAGUUCAUAUCUGAGUUUGACUUCUCGCGCAACAAACUUUCACCUAAUUCAUAUCCAGAUUUCUCGUCCAGAGGAGUUUGAGAAAUGUCUUUAACCUGAGGCUGACUUAAUGCUACAUCACGUCUGCAUGAGGGAUCCAUAUGGCAAUCUAUCCCAUUCAGUCGAUCAUGUGCAUCUCCAUCCUUAGUGCCAUCCUUAUUGUGUGCCAUAUCAUCAUCUCCAACUGACCUCAGUAGCAUUUCAACCGAUUCGGAGGAAGUAGCCUCAGACCAGACAUUAUUGGUCCUAGAUAGUGAACAAGAUUCAGCUGCACUUGGACUAAAUUCUAUUGCACUGCUUACAGGUGAGAAGUCUUCAAUCCAAUUGUUUCCUUGACCUUGUAUGCCAAACAAAACCUCUGUCUCAACUAGAUUGUCAAACCUAAGAUGAACCUGAAGUUGCUCGUCGAUAUCAAAUUUCGGUACAGCAAAUGGCCGUAAACUGGGCGGAGAUUUAUUGCUGUCCUCCCCAAUUAGCUGAAAGUUUUGGCUCUGAAAGUCAUUGUCAUCACAAUCCAUUGAUGUAUGCCUGCAACAUCAAAAAAAUAUAACAAUUAAAUAUAAAGAUAAUAAAUAGCUAUAAAUAUGCCUGCUAACCAUGUGCAUUGUGCACACAGUAAAACAGUAAGAAUCAAAAACAUAACCAGGAAAGUUGAGAAAGUUUCAUAAGAGUUAAUACGUCCAUACGAAAAGCAAUUUUUACCAAUCGAAAUAGUUUCAAGUAUCCAAGUAAGCAGAAUAAACAUAAAUGACAAUACGGAAUUAAAAAAAAGAAUUAAAAAUUCUAAUGUCAUACCUAAUAGAAUUUUUACUGUCACCCAGCCAAAUUCGGAUGAUCAUCCAGGUUAACACAAAGAACCAACGGUGACAAUGAUACUCAAAUAGCCUAAACUCAUUUGACUUAAUACCUCAAUCAACCCGUUAGGCACAAACAACUUUAGACCUUAACAGAAAACCACUUCAUACUGAUUUUAUACUUGUCUGCUGAAAAAGAACAACAUUCGAGGCUUCACUAUCCAAUGAAUAUGUCGAUUUUGGCAUGUAUUUCUUAGCAAAUCGCUGGCAUAGUGAUUUACAUUCAAGUGAGUUAAUAAAGAAUAUUUCCAACAAAAAACUACAAAACCACCAUUUGAAUUACGUGUAUUGCUUUUAGCGGACUAAUGAAAAUAUUUUUAAUUCACUUAUCAGUGAUGAGACAAAUCUAUGUAUCAUACCAAUUUAAUCUCUAUGUUAUGGCUACAUAAUGUUGAUCUGAAAGGUCUUAUAUAGAAGAGGAUCCACCAAAGCACACCUGCAACCACCCUAUUGAGCUAACCAUCCUGUUAACCCGGAUAGGUUGAAGACCAAGCAAGCUUGGACAGCUACCAAGAAAAACCCAAUUCAAGUCCUGCCGUUUGUUUAGUAUGAAAUAUCAAAUAAACAUUAAAACUUCUUGGAAAGAAACCCGCUUUCCCUAUUCCUUAUAACAUUUCCUCAUUAACACCAAUUAUCUCCUCAGACAUCUUUUUCCACUGUUGCAUAUGAGGAAAUCCUUGCCUUACUUUCACCUCCAUCAUAGCCCGAUUACUUGGCUCCAGCGGUGACAUCUUUCUCUGUUAAAUCCAACCCUCUCUCCCCCUCUCGCUGGACUACGGGGUAGUAAUCGACCCAAUGAUAGGCCAUGGCUCGAAACCGUCACUGUUAAAUCGCGCAACAUCUCUCUCAACAAAUAUGGAAAGAAAUGAAAAGGCAAAGUUUGAAUUUGGAGGAACCCUCACUGUUAGAUUGCUUCUUGGAGAGCAUCAGCGGUUUAUGAUAACAAAAGUUAAUCCCUAAAACUGCAUGCCUCAUAAAUAUCCGUUUAAACGUAAAUCGAGGAAAAAUACAAUUAAAGAACAAAAAAAAACUUCCUGGGUAUAUAUAUUUCUCCGAAACCCUAAUUCAAGAAAUAGAAAGAAAAGGUAUCGAUAAAGACCCCAACAAGCUACCAGACGGGGCGCACCGUCCAAAAGAGCACACCAAAAACCCUAAGUUUCUCCCUAAGCAGAACAAAGAAGCUAGGUACGUGGCGGAAGCAGCAAGUGUAGAGUGGAGUGUGGAGAGAGAAAGAAGCGCGUACCGGGGAGAAAUCGCCUAGGCUUCUACGACCCUCCAUCCGUGGACGAAAUCUUGUCCUUUGAAGCUCCGGACCCCAAAUCCCACGGCGAUCCGAGGGCUCAUAUCCCGCGGGCCAUGAGCGGCGUCGAAAGGAGCCCCUCCGCGCCCGAAACCCUAGCUUCUUGGGCCCCCGCCAUUAGGGCUUCUCCGAGAAGCGGCUUCUUGAGGGGGAAAUUAGGAUUAGGGGAGCGAGAUCGAAAGGGGAGGGUUGGGGUGGAGAUGGAGAGUGGGGAAGGAGGAGACGAAAAGCCCUUUUCUUUCUCGCACUCCUCUCUCUUUCUUUUUUACACGCUCUUUUUCCCUCUUUGCUCGCCUCGCCUCGCCUCGCCUCGCCUCGCACGCGUUAGUGCUCGGAGCCGACGAAUUAGGAUCGAAACUUGAGGAUUUGAACGGGGGCGGCGGUUCGAAAGGGGGCAUGGGUUUGUCCGAAUAUUACGCUUUUACACACCCCCAAUGUCUUAUCCGCACGUGCCGGGGAAUGACGUCAUCCUUCUUUAUUCGGGCUCCAAGGAAGUUUUGUAUGGACCGUUUGGAUGCGGCCCAUUUGUACCAGUCCUUGGAAUCCAACUACUCAAAAAUAAUAAUAAUAAUAAAUAAAUAAAUAAAUAAAUAAAGACAAAAAAAUAUGUAAAGAGACACCUCAACUAUGGGCCAAUUCUAAAAUUGCAACUCUUUACGCCGCUGUAUUUGGUUCGAAUAUAAAUCGAAACUAUUUAUUUUGAAAAUAGAUAUAAAUUUAUAUAUAAAUAAGAACUAAUUAAUUUUAUGUUUGGAAGGAAAUUAAUUUAUUUCUGAAAAUAAGAUAAAUAGUAUUUGAAUAGUAAGACUGGAAUAAGAGAGAGAAGAAUUAUAAUUUUAAAUUAAAAUUAUUUUAUAAAAUUAAUUAACAUCAAAAUAUUAAUUAAAAAUAAUUUAAUAAAAAUAAAUUUACUAGCUAUGAAUAUUAUAUAAGAUAAUAAAAGUAAAAAAAAAUUAAUUAGAGUAAUACAAAUAUUAAUGGUUGAUAAAUAUAAAUAUUAAUUUAUGGAUAAACAUAUUAAAUUAUUAAUAAUUAAUUAGCUAAUUAAUUUUUUUCAUUAUUUAAGCAAUAGAUAAUAAUUUAAAUUUAUUAAUUAGAUUAAUUAAUAAUAUAAUAUCAUAAUUAAAAUUAAAUUUGGACUUUAAUUAAUCUUAUUCUCAUUUGGGAACAAGCUUGUUUCAGAAAAAAGAUAAAAAUAGCAGUUUCAGGCUUACACCGAGUUAUACCAGUUUAUUCCAUGAACCAGAAAACUACAAUUUUCUUUUUAGAUAUGAAAAUUUAUGUUUGAAAAUAAAAGGGUGGACAAGAGCUUAUUUUUCCUUGUUCCUGAACCAAACAUUGCCUUAAUUAACUUUGUUUUUUCAUCUUAAUUGACACUCCUUAAAAUUCUAUUUUUAAAAAUUUAAGAUUUAUAGAUAAUUACAAUAAAAACAUUUUAUUAAACUUUCUUGCUCAGUUAGCUAUUAUUGGUUAAUUAAUUUAUCUGGUCAGGCACACAUUUGUAUAUCUAAAUGAUCUAAAAUUGUGUCCCAACCAGGACUUUCACGGAGGCCUCGUUUGGUUCGAAUAUAAGCAAGAACUAACUAUUACAGAGAUAUGUACAAGUAUGGGAAUAAGAAAAAUAACGUAUGGAUGAAAAUUGGAUUGUUCUCGGAAAUAAGAAAAAUAGUUGAUAGUUUUAUAGAGAAAAUAAAGAUGUUGGUAGGGAUAGUUAUACCAGCUUAUUUCAGGUAUCCAAAAACUAUUAUUCUUGGAUAAAAAAUUUACGUUUCGGUCCCUUUAUCCCUAAUUCAAACAGUGCCAGAGAGAUUUGGAAUAUGAUGAUGCUUCUGGAUUUUAUCAACAGGAAAGUUAAUUAAUUAAAUUGUAUUUAUUAUAAAGUUUUAAAUUAUUAAAUGUGAUAGAUUUAUCUAUCAAUUUCAUAAAAUUUUUAAUUUAAUUGGCUGAAAUCACAUAAUUUUCAACAAAAUAAAAUAAAAUUUGAGAAAGUCUUUGAGAUCACUAUUUCAAAAAAACAAAAUGUUAUAUAAAUAGAGAGUACAUCGUAUACGUCGUUCAUUCGAACACGGCUAGUAAAAGAUCUUAUCCGUCGAAUUGAUGGAGAUUAAUGAUGUGCGCUCCGGAUUGUACCGUUUCUUGGUUUGGAAUUGCUGGUAGUUGAGGGGUUUCCAUACAUUUCUACCAAAAUGAAAAAUUUGAAAAAGAAAAAUAAAAAAGGUACAGUAAUGUGAUGUGUCUGUCACUGUCGAUUGUACAUUUGUACAGUACAGUCACUUUGAGCCAAACGGAUAUUAAAACUGGGUACGAUCUUGGAUGGCCAGAUGAAAAAGAUCGGUUCAGAUGGACGGCAUCCGAUCCUUCUAGCUUUAUAUGAAAGAUCUGUUACAAGGCUUCAUUUUAAUUGGAUAUAAGUUUUAAGUUAAUCCUAUUCGGAUAUAAAACUUUGAGGUACAAAGCUGGGCACACAUUAAAAGAAGAAAAAAAAAAAGUGAAACAUGUUCUAAAUUCUAAUUGAACAGGACCACAUAGUAUAUAUAUUCUUUUUGUUUUAUAGAAAUACGUAGCAUGUUCCCUACUUCUUUUAUUUCAUUUAGAAAUGAGCUUAAAUAGAAAUGUGAAUCAAGUCGGAUUGGAACUUGAGACUUCGGGUAUCAAGUACUAAAUUCUUUGCCACUUGCGCUAGGGACAGUCGGUCAGUAUAUAUAUUCAUUAAUAGUGGUUUUAUAUAUAAUUUUCUCUGCUCCGAAAUUAAAGUACUUUUGAUGUGAGUUCGCGAGCUAACGUAUUGUCCCACAAUUGAUCUUUUAUUUUAACUUAUUGCAUCAAUUAUUACUAUGUGAAAAAAACUUAGCUGAGUCAAAUUCAGUUUUCUUAAUUAUUACUAUGUGAAAAAAACUUUUAGCUGAGUCAAAUUCAGUUUUCUUCAAUUAAGAAGCUUUUUUGAGAGAGAUAGGUAGCACGCUACCCGUUUCGUUUAUUUUAUUUAGAAAUAAAUUUAGUUGAAAAUGUGAAUCAACUAGGAUUCGAAUUUGGAACCUCGGAUAUCAACCACCAAACCCUUUGUCACUUGCUUUAGAGAUAGUUUAGAUUUGAUUUAAUUUGAUUAAAUAGUAUCUUGGAUCAGUGAAUGAGGUUUGUUGUUGUGAUUGAACUUGAGCUCCGAUAAUUCAAAUGGAGUUGCAACUCCAAAUAUCAUUUUGGCCAAGAACAUGCAAAGACCAGUAAGUGCUUCAUGGCUUCUACAAUCAUCUCUUCGGAGCGUUUGGUAAACAGAAAUCUUUUAGAGUUUACGAUAUGAUGAGGUUAGAAUGAACUAAGACCUGAAUAAACCAGUAUCCGAAGCUUCUUCUGUUGAUUUUGAACUAACUAAAAGCCAGACCUGUGGAUGAAUAGGAAAUCAGUUUUGGCUUAGACACCUCAACUCGGAGCGGAACUCAGGACUUCGUGCCGAUUCAAGUCCUGCCUCUGAGCCCGCAAAGUCGGAGCUCCAACUCCAGUGCAGCUCGCUAGUGCAAUAUCAGAUGGCGGGGUGCAAAGUUGGACUUCAGGCAAUUGCAAUUGUGCAGUACUUGCAGACCAAAAUUACUUCAGCAUAUGGACUCUAAAGAUAGAUACUAAAGUUUUGAAGCAUAAAAUGCAUGUGUAGUUCGUGAACGCUUGAUUUGGCGGAGAGAAAAAAGAAAUUCACUUGGCACUAAGGAAUCGCGAUUUACUUUACAACGACAGCAUUUGUUCUGUGGGUCAGUUACAAAACUUUUGCAAAUUUCAGGACCGUCAGCGGAAAAAAAACAAAAACUCAUACCCACCAUGUCUUCUCCGUCAAGUUCUUUGCGAAGACAUAUCGAAACCUUGUAUUAUAAGGCAACCAUUCAAUGAUCUGCGAGGCCUUUUUUUUGUUCUGUGAAUCUAAGCACUUCUGGAUCGCAUCGUGCAGCUUAUCGUCGACGUUCUCUGAUAUCCAUGUAAGAAGUUGAUCGCAGCUAAGAGAAGCCCCUUUUGCGUACCUAUCAACAAUCUUGGGUAGAUAAACUCUCUUCGAUUUCUUGACGACCACGUUAGCUUGAAGGAAAUCCUUUGUGGCCUUGUCUAACUCAUCUAUCACAUUCUUUUCAGUAUAUAACCUCAGCUGCAUCACAAGGAAGUCGCUGAGAAUUUGGAAUUAGCUUAAAUGCUGUAGUGUUUCUGAAAGAGGUUAAUCAUUUACCAUUGGAUCAGAAGAAGCUCCAGUAGACAAUGCAAAGAAAACAAGAGGUUCGCAAUCAAAGAGACCACACUUUGAUUCGAGAAGCUGCUUUUCCUCGCUACUGCUCUUCCUCAUCGUAGUUGAAAGAAUGCUUUCGAACCACUGCAGAAAUAGUGCUUAAGUUACACAUUAGAGGUUGAGAAACUUAGUUAACUCUUUACAGUAAGAGUUAAAAUGGCGUUAGAUGAGCAAAAUAGCAUCAUUUUUUUUGUCCAAUCUUAGCUUCUGCUUCUCGAGUAGAGAAAAAUUUUAAGAAGCCCAACUAAAUGGACACUAAGAAGAGUCAAAGCCAGAUUCAAACUGAAAUUAGAUGCAAAAUUAACUCGAUUUGUCAGCCUCAAACACAAGCUUGAAUAGUCCUGUGCCAAACAGAAGCCUAAAGUUGCCAAAGUAAGCCUCUUGCUGAAAGGCUCAAAGCCAAGAUUGAGAAUAAAAUUUGUCCCGAGAGUUGGAGAAAUCAAUAUGAAAUCUGCUGUAAGAAGUAGGUUUGAUGGAAAUGAGUUUAGAUCAUACUCGACCAAUUCGCGGAGUGCGGCAGCAUAACAAGGAAUGCUCUAUAGAAUUGACGGUCACGAUGUGCCCUCCAACGUUGUACGCAGCCUGUAGUAUAUAUAAACUUGUUUUCAGAUUCAGCUCUACAAUUAAAGCACAAUCCUGGUAUGUCUAACGCAAGGUUCAGACCUAAUCCCUUUCCUUUUUAUACGCACAAGCAGCAUAUUUCGUCAAUUUAGGAACAUUAUUUAGAUGUAAUUAAAGACGAAGGUUUUCACUACCUUAUGAAACAGCGCCAUCCUUCUCAGAGCACUAUGGGGAAUACCGUACGCUAAAUAUGACUGCAGAUCAAAUAGCAGAUACAAUUACAUAACACAUAAAACAGAUGUAAGCUAAAGGAAUCACUUGAAAAUAUUCGACAAUUACAUGCAUGAUGAGAGCAUUGUAGAUAUUGAUCCAAAAUGCCAAUUUAGCUUCGGUCUCCAACACACUGAGAUCAACUCUCUCAAGCUGCUCGACUAGCAACCUAAAUACAAAAUGGGAGAAAAUAUUAGUCAUUCAUCGUAAAUUCUAACAGUACGUAUUUACUGCAAAAAUAUUAUUAAACCUACCUGUAGCUGCUUAUGGCCUGAGAUGCAUUCGACAAGUGAUUUUUGUCAGCUGAUAUCGAAGAGAUCUCCACCGUACAUUUGUUAGACCAGACAUGUUCGUCGCCGUUGCCUCUUCGAGAGUUCACUACACUGGUAGAUGAUCUAGACAAGAAUGGGGAUCGGGCUUUUUCGGUCUUCUCUGAUGAGUCGCUGCGCAUCCAACAAUAUAUGGAAGCCAUGCAUUGGACCAUCUCUUCUGAUAUUUUGUUCGGGCAUUGGUGGAGAUGAUCUUUUAGAGUACGGGCCAAACAACUUCUUCCAGCAUUAGGCAACUUCUCAUACAAAAGAAAAAGAAACAACACUACCAAAUUUCGUCAAAUUUGCUAUUGUUCGACUAGAAUAUUUAAAACAUUCAUAGGAACUACAAAAAAGAAACAGCAAGUUAUAGAGUCGACCGCUCAUUUUCAAUAUAAAGCACAAUGAUGAGAGUAAAACAAAAUUUAGCUCAAUGGCUUUGUUGACAAACUAAGAUACAUGCACUUCUCAAUUUGUAGUGAAGUAAUAAAAUUACUCUAUUCUUUUCUCAGCAGUGAUAAAGCAAAUGUUGGUUGAUAUGCAAAAAGAAGAUGACAGAAAAAGGUGCUAUUUCAACGUCGAAUUCGCUUCAAGGAUGCCAUUCCUAUAUCAUUUAGGAAAACAAGGAUGUCAAAUGAUCAGAAAAGAAAAUAAAAUUUAAGAAAAAGCCAAGUAGAAAUCUUCGAGAUAUCGUAAAUACAUCAUAAUGUGCAUUCAUGUACCUUCCUUGCAUCUGCAGAAAUGGUUCCAGCACGUAUACUCAAGUUUUCACCGGAUAAAGAUUCAUGCCGUGUCUUGGGCUUAGGCAACACCCUGCACUUUUCGGACUCCUUUUUGGAAGGAAGAAUGUUGAAAGAUUGCAGGGGAAACUUCUUUGACGAGCAAAACGCACUCGAUAUUAUGCUCGGGUGCUUCCUCGAUUUGUUGCUAGUGUGUGCAGGAGAAGCCAUGCCUGAACUCUGCGCUGACGAAGGCCCACUAACACAUUGCUCGAAAAUGCUUCUGUACAGAGAAAGAACGUGUUGCUCGCGAUGUGCUAUCUCUUCUUCAAGUAGCUCGAUCUCCGCUAUGAGUUCCCUUGUCUAACGAAACAAUGAGCAAGAGAGUGGUUAAUCCGCAUAGCUUUUUCAAACUUUUCCUGAACCAGUUUAGUUUCUUGAGUGUAAAUUAUGAUCUACUUAAUGAUGCAUGCAAAAGAAUAUAUACCUGAGCAGAGAAAUGCCUAUGUCCUGGAGAUAAUGUACUAGAAGCUCGGCCGAUCGCCCUCUCAAGCAUGGUACGGAUGGAUCUCUCCUGAUGCAAGUUCACUUGAAGUUGCUUGAUCUAUUAAAAUACGGAGAAUAGUUUUAGAAAAUUCUCGCGCAACUUGAAUGUUGUACAACUAAUUCACAACUACGAAGAACAUUGAUUUCUAGGAAGUUGUAUACGGAAAAGUCUCUUUUCCGUUGUGAUGCUUCCGCUCUAUAGAAAUUUGUGUUCAGAAGCAACCAGAGAAAGUGCUUCAGAAUUUUCACAAUUUAUACGAGAAGAUAUUGCAUCAGUAAUAAGGCAACAACGAAAAGCCUAAAAUUGAAUAGAAGUUUUGAGCCUUACAUCGUUCUCCAAGGAAUUGCGGUGCUUAGGUGAAGCCUUUAUCAAAGCAUCGCUUGAGUCGUGAUAAACAGAACCGUGAGUUCCGCGAGAUUUCUCAACAUUCAUGAAAUCCUGGAAUUAGAAAAAGAUUUUUUUUUUUAAAAAAAAAAAGAAGUUGUGUAAGCUUUUUGAUAGGAUAUUAAUUGAAGAAACUUGUUGAAUGCGCAGUUGAUCAAUUGUCUCACCUGAGAUUGAUUGCAUUCUUUACCUCUGCAGUGCGAAACUCCAUGUUUCAACAGAUCCAAGUUCCUAUCAGAAGCACUGAAAGAGAACAACUGUGAAAUCCACUGUAAUAGACAAGCAGUACAGCAGGGAAAAGAUGCAAUUAUUCGGCUUGAGGAAAUUAAACUAUCUUGCACAUCAUUUUUCAAUGUCAUUUUCUAAUACUGCACUUUAUUGCAAACCAUAGUAAUGUCUAACCUUGCUAAUGCAGUUGAUUCGGCAUGAUUUAAACCUCUAAAAUAGUAGGGAAAAGCGUAACAUCAAAAACCCAAAGAAGCAAAGAAACUAGUGUACAGAAGCUCACCUUUGCGAGCGCCGGUGAUGCGAAGAACAACCAGAUAACAUGUUUACAUCCUUAGAAGCUUCUUCUUCUCUUCCUUUUCCAUCCAUUCCUUCUCCUUACAUAAUUUCCCUUCCUCUUCUCUUUUCCUACCCUCGGAUCUCACCAACUCUCAUCAAAAUCCAUGUACUUAUUCUGCACCAUAAAAAAAAAACAAAAUAUAUAUCGAGAGCAAAGGUAGGCAAAUCGGUAUCCGAUGCUUACCUAUUUCUGUUAGUAUUAACUGGGAGAGUCAGUGUUGCAGGCAAAGAUUCUUGGGCAGCAAACAAUGUUGAGGUUAGACAUUAAAUGAGGAGCUCUUAAAUUAGUUGUUGAGUAAUUAGUUUCCAUAGAAGGCGAGAAUAAAGAAAUAGUAGAUAAUAGCUAAGUUGGUUAGAGCGAAAAGGAGGUAUUGUAGAGAUGCUAGAGGGGCCAGUGGUUGUUGGGAUUUGAAUGAAGGGAGUUAAUGAGAGGGAGGAAGGGCCACAGGAGUGGGGAAUUUGAAUGCAUUGUCCCCGCGAAUGGUCAGGGAUUCUUUACUGCAGAUAUAAUUAAUGACAGAUAAUAAUAAAAAAAUUGAUAGUUGGCACUUGGCAUUCGUUUUUUUUUUCAUUUUUUAAAAUUUUUAUUAAGGUAAAUAUUGAAAAUUAUCUUCCAACCAUAGAAAGAAAAAUGUAAAAAAGAAAUUGCCGUGUCGGUGGAAAUUUAUAGUUGGUUUUGGUGGGGAAAAAAAAAAAAAAAUUUUGAAAUCUGCUUUACGCUUCAAUUUAAACUUUUAAGAGUAUAAGUUUCAUAUUAGUAAGUAAGAGAUCGUGAGUUUGAGUCACGUUAGGCUCCUAAAUUUUUUUUAACUUAAAUCCAUGUUAUGAGUCUUGCAAAAAAUUUUAAGCCCAACUGUGAAAGAAAGUUUUAAAUAUAAAAAUAUAUAAAUAUCGUUCUCUACUAGUUUAAGUUUUUAGAGUAUAAUAAUUAUUUGCAUUUAAGGCAAAAUAACUUGGGAAUUAAUGCUACGUUCUUAUUAUUUUGUAAAUUUGUGAAUUUAAUUCCGAGCAUACUAUUUAUUAAGUUAAAUUCCUCCAUGUUCUAUUCCUCUCAGAAGAACUGUUUAUGGGUGUCGUUUAACUACGUACUAAAGGAUUAACGUGGAGAAAAAUAAUUUUUUUUUUUUUUUUGAGAAAUAGGUGGCGAGCUACAUGCUUUAUUCAUUAAGUAAAAUAAACUGAGCGUAUAGAAAUGAAAGCAACUUGGGCCUCCGAAAAGAGCAAAAAAUAACUGGCAAAGAACUUGGUGGUUGAUAUCCGAGAUCCAAAUUCGAAUCCUAGUUGAUUCACAUUUCUAGCUAAGUUUAUUUCUAAAUAAAAUAAACAAAACGGAUAGUGUGCUAUCUAUUUCUAAAAAAAAAAAAAAAAUCAAAAGGCAAUUAUUAUUAUCUU